CCUACGGGAGGCAGCAGUGGGGAAUAUUGCACAAUGGGCGAAAGCCUGAUGCAGCGACGCCGCGUGAGGGAUGACGGCCUUCGGGUUGUAAACCUCUUUCAGCAGGGAAGAAGCGCAAGUGACGGUACCUGCAGAAGAAGCACCGGCUAACUACGUGCCAGCAGCCGCGGUAAUACGUAGGGUGCGAGCGUUGUCCGGAAUUAUUGGGCGUAAAGAGCUCGUAGGCGGUCUGUCACGUCGGAUGUGAAAGCCCGGGGCUUAACCCCGGGUCUGCAUUCGAUACGGGCAGACUAGAGUGUGGUAGGGGAGAUCGGAAUUCCUGGUGUAGCGGUGAAAUGCGCAGAUAUCAGGAGGAACACCGGUGGCGAAGGCGGAUCUCUGGGCCAUUACUGACGCUGAGGAGCGAAAGCGUGGGGAGCGAACAGGAUUAGAUACCCUGGUAGUCCACGCCGUAAACGUUGGGAACUAGGUGUUGGCGACAUUCCACGUCGUCGGUGCCGCAGCUAACGCAUUAAGUUCCCCGCCUGGGGAGUACGGCCGCAAGGGCUAAAACUUAAAGAGUAGUAGGCGCGUGAGUAGCGACGAGCACACGGAGGUAGG
RNAcentral lists this ribosomal RNA (600 nucleotides) under uncultured bacterium. Its description in RNAcentral is "bacterial SSU rRNA". It matches the Rfam family "Bacterial small subunit ribosomal RNA", at positions 338 to 951 of the family's 1533-position model. The record is from RNAcentral.